UGGCGAGAUCCGGCUCGCAGAUCGCAGUCAGAGCCGUGUCACCGGGCAUAACGUCUCGAAUGGUCCCUGUCCCUCCGGCGGCCGGCCGGCCCUGCACUCAUAGUCUGCGCUGCCUUGGUACGUCCGGCGCCGCGCAGCACUAGCAGCAGUGCUGGAUGUGUCACCUGACAAAUUCCUUCGGCGAAGGUACUACUGCGGUUAGGUUGGAGAGGAGAGGAGGAGGUGUGGGUGCAUGCAAUGCAAGCAUGGCGACCCGAUGGGCGGGCAUGGCGACAGGUAUCUCUGUAGAUCUGGAUCGUGCACCGUGCUGUCCUGGCUGGGGCGGAAAGCAAGGAUCGCGCGCGGAUGGACAGGUUGGGGCCUUCAGCCUUGGGGGUGGUGCUUCUGUGGGCAGCGCGGCGGCGGGGUCCGUCCGGCUGCCGCAUCGAGUGCGUCGUCGUCGUCCGCGUUUGCGGCGUCCACAUGACAACGAUGUCUCGCCAACAAAGGACCAACAUGUACAGCGAGCAAUUUUCUCUGCCAAACAAGCGACCAUUGGACCAGCAGCAGCGCAGCGGCAGGCCGCAGAUGACGCCUGGAACGCCAUCCUCCGCGGCCGCCUCAGCCUCGACGGCGGCGGCGGAUCGUUCCCCGACCUGGCCGCCGCGCGCGUCAGGCGCCGAGGCCGCGUCGACCAGCACCCGCGCCUGUUUGCAUCAGCGUGCAGUGGCCACCCCAGCGCGCCCAGCAACUCGCGCGGCGGCAGCCCGGCCUGACGUCACGGCGCCGCUGGGCGGGGUACUCGGCCUCGGCGUCCUCAGCGCCCAGCCCACGGGCCGGUGCUCGGUGCUCGUCGUUGUCGUCGGCAGGUUGCGUCCUGCAUUUAUAUUUCGAAAAAAAAAAGGUUGCGUCCUGCACGCCAUGCUGUGCUCGCCGCGCGAGGUCCACGUGGAGCUCUCUUCGGAUUAUUUCAAGUUUGUUUCGGUCAGGGGUUCAUUUCAAGUUUUAUUUCGGGUCGGCGACGGCGAGGCGGCUCCUGCGAGCUCGCGCUGCCGCCGCCCGCCGGCCAGCUCCGGGAGACCCACCGCCAAGCAUAUCGUGGUCGCCUCCGUCAAAUCCACUCGCCCAGACGCUUCCACCAAUCCACAUUCUUCCCCGGGCGCGGGUCCCUAGGAGAUGCUUAAUUCAGCGGCGGCGUCGCCGGAGCAUCGAAUAACGCGGCGUCGCCGGAGCAUCGAAUAACGCGGCGGCGGCGGCGGCGGCGGCGGCGGCCCGCUGUGAUGAGACAGCGAGGGAUCCAAUCCAACCACUUCACCUAGCUACAUCCACGAGCUUCGCGAGCUCAUCGCCUCCACCACCGUCUCCGCCGGCUGCCCCCCGGGGCUCCGCGCACCUCAAGCUCAAGCUCCCCAAGGUCCUCCCAACCUCCUCCGCCACUACGUCAUCCAUCCCUUCCCCCAAAGGUUGAGCCAUGAGCUCAUAUUCGUUCAAUGCAGUUUGGAAUCGAUUCUCCAUUCUUCGCACAGGUGACCGAGGAGCCUGCGGAAGGUUCUUCCUGAAUCCAACAGAUCUACUAUUUGUGGCAUCAAUGCAUAAAAGGGUGUGCCUCUGUGGAUCUUUCUCAGAUAUAUUAGACUCACCUUACAGUGAGCUCCCAGACAGAUAAGACGCGGAAGUAGGAAAAACAAGCAAGAAGUUACGAGUCUUCUUGAUCAUAAAAGGGCACGAUCAUUGUAGUGAGUGGUGACAGUGGCAACUCCACAUCGCUGGUUGGACUCCUUGGAGGCAGGUAGAACCAACUGCUUUUGUUUUCUUACAUUCUGCAUUUCUGCAGUGUUAGAAAUGGUCUGUAUAGGCGAGGGACUAAAGCAGGUGCUUGAUAAACAGUGUGCUUACCUGUCGACUUCUCACUCAAGGGGAUAUUUGGCAGUAGUAGUAAUGGACUAAUGGUAGUGAUAAGGGUGCUCAUCUGAGGACUUAAAAAAUAAAAGAUACUUCUGG
Long non-coding RNA from Panicum virgatum (switchgrass), 1980 nucleotides. RefSeq lists it as uncharacterized. The transcript has 2 exons. The record is from RefSeq and is a predicted model, not a curated record. NCBI's taxonomy places the organism in Eukaryota, Viridiplantae, Streptophyta, Magnoliopsida, Poales, Poaceae.